This is a long non-coding RNA of Gadus chalcogrammus (walleye pollock), 4845 nucleotides long. RefSeq lists it as uncharacterized. Lineage: Eukaryota; Metazoa; Chordata; Actinopteri; Gadiformes; Gadidae. The record is from RefSeq and is a predicted model, not a curated record. The transcript is spliced from 4 exons.
CCUGUGCUUUAGUUCACGAAAGUUAGGUAGGUUGCUGCCUUAGCUGUUGUAACAUGAACACAUUUUUCAGCUGUUUGUUAUUAUUAUUUCCAACUAACCAAUAGUAGUUGCCAUGCAUUUUUUUUUGUAUCAAUGCACUUUGAGCCCUGAAUAACAGUAAAAGCUAUUGAAUGAUUGAUUUGCAUGCAUAGUCUACUACACUUUCCAUUAAACAAAUCCCCCAACAGUUAGCUGAACAUUAUAUGGUCGCAUCCUUCCACUCCCUGUUUUCUUACCCUGUUUAAACAAGAAAUCAACUGCAUUUGUCCCAGUGUUUGUGCUAUGGGAAAUUAAAGGUCCCAUGGCAUGCUACUUCAUGGAUGCUUUAAUAUAGGUAUUAGUGGGCCCCAAACACAGUAUUUGAAGAUGUUCCUGAAAUUCAGCCGUGGUGCAGAAUUACAGCCACUACGGGCAGUCGCACAUUGAGCUUUCCCCAAAUGUGCCGUUUCUGUGUCAGUAGCUUUAAUGCAAAUGAGGAGGAGAGAGGCGGGUCAAGAAGGAGGGUGGGGGUGUGGCCCUGAGCAGCUUGAGGCCAAGGUACCAUGCGCUCUGCUUACAGUGGAUGUAUCGCAAUGACGAAGCAUACAACAAUCAAUCCCUUUCUCCUCAAUGUCAUGGUUCAUGUACUUCAGGGAGUCAAAGCCAAAGUUCCUUUCCCCCAAUUCCUUCUCAACCAUGGCGGAGAUAACCCCAACUACAGUCUGGUUGUGGAAUUACUAGGGACGUCAAAGAACCGACGUUUUAUGCGCCAUAGCAUCAAAGCAGAACGGUUAUCCAAACUACAAAGCACCACACAUGUGGCGCUCGCAUGGUCGUAGCUCAUUGUCCGAUUGGCAGGCCGAAUUUUCUGGGCGGGCCAGUCAGAGAAAGGGGAGGUAACUUGGCCCCUUAUGACGCCCAUAUGGGGCCACAUUACAAAUCAGCGCCCCUUAGCUUCCAUUUUUUUUAGAGGCGAGCAGGAUACCUAGUGCUCGUUUUACACCGAACGCAAGUUUUAGCCACUGGGAGACGAUAGGCAGGCUAGGGGAACUCAUAUUAAUGUUAGAAAACCUCAUAAAGGGAGAUUUUCAUGCCAUGGGACCUUUAAGCAAUAAAAUACACUCUCCUUCUCCAGUAUCGUUCGCGACACCCUUCUUCUUCGUCUUUUCUUGAAUUUGUCUCUAACUCAUGCUCUAAUCUUUCAUUGAUCGAUUCUUCGGAUGUUGUGAAUGCAACAGAAUAUAUAUGAUGCAUCGUUGCAGUAACAUUUAAGAUGAUGGCGAUGAGUUCUGCCCGUUCUGCCUCCGUGCUGUCUGCGGUCAAACCAAAACAAACUACAGUGUCAGCGGCCGCACUUAUCCCGCCUCUUGCGAACUUCGACCAUGCGUCCAAUCCCGCCCUUUGCAAGCCCACCCCCCUAGAUUCUGCUGAUGUCUGAACGACAUCGAUGCCCGCAGAUAAAGCAUCAAGUGUGAAAAACCCUCAGGGUCGAAUCUUCUGAUAUACAAAUACGGCAAACUUAAAAAUAUUAUGCUUGCUUCAUGAAGUUAGGAGAAAAUUGUUAUGCUUGCUUCGUUACGUUAUAGGUGAACCAAUAUAUUAUACGUUGUAACAUUAUAGGCAAUUCUUUUUUUUAAUAUUUAAUUAUAUUACAUUAUGCGCUCAGAAAUUAAAUAGAAUAUCGACAGUAACAUUUAAGAUGAUGGCGAUGAGUUCUACCCGUUCUGCCUCCGUGCUGAACGGGCAGUUUCAUAUUAUUAGCUAUGGGUUUAAAAACUACUAGAGGUUGAGCGCAGGCAACGCACACACGGACACUCUAGUCUUACUUCUAUAUAAUAGCAGGCCUGUCGCACCAGUUACUCAAGUUGGUCAGUGUGCACGUGCCAAGCAGCCUGCAGCUCUCACACACACACAGCACACGCAAACGCAUACAUACACCGCAAGCACGCACAUACACACCGCAUCCACACACACCGAACAAACACACCACACACAUACGCAGCUGUGCACAAACAUACACGGAAUCACACACACACGCACGCACACACACCACUAGCCAAUACAAAGGCAGCGACACACUCGCCCAGGUAAGAGGUUAUGUUUUAACCGUAACGGCUCCGCCAUCGACACACGCGCAGGUAAGAACAAACACGCACGCACACACACCGCAGCGACACUCGCCCAGGUAACACGUUAUGUUUUCAAACAUAACGGCUCCGUCAUCGACACACGCGCCCAGGUAAGACCACACACGCACACACCGCGACUCGCCCAGGUUAGACGUUAUUUUUUUAAACAUCUUACUGCUAUAGAAUAGCAGGCCUGUCGCACAGGUGAAGGUGCGUCCACACCAAACGCGAAGGGGCGACAUGACUCCAUACAAAUUCAACGUAGAGACUCGAUCAAAGGCCGGGCCUUUGAUCAAGCGUUUGUGUUCUUUUUGUCUCAUUGCUUUAUUGGGCUAAUCUGAGGAGAAAUCUAUGCCAUAAACAGAAAUAUUAUAGGCCUUUAUUACACGGGUCUUCUCAAUGCCGUGGAACGCUCCGUUCACUUGCAUGGGUAUUAGUCCGGUAACUUGUCAACCCCAGCGGCAGACUAUUUCACUGCUGAUCAACACUACGAAUGCUGGUAACGAAUAAAUUGUGAAAAGACACACCAUGUGAAGUUAUUUUCCAAAUAAGAUUUGAAAAACUUUGGAAGUUUAUUUAGAACACUAUUUACAUGGUUUCGGAGUAGAACACUUUGACAUUUGAAUACAGUUCAGCGAGAAAGGCGACGAAGAAUAAGAAGGGGGCGUUCCAGUCUGCGUGAAGGGGAACCCCCACCACACGAGAACGCCCAUUUGUGUCUGCAGUGGGAUGAUCAUAGAUAUAUAUAGAACACUAGAUACGUCACGGCAAUGUUGAGCUCCGGUCGGCUGACGGCCACCGCGGCGGCAAUCUUGAAUGGGUCAACCCGCUGUCUAGUGCAUUACACCACAUGGAAAAUUCAUACAAAGAUGUAGCAAAUUUGAGCGGUGAUGGCUCAGUGGAUGACACUAAAAACAUCAUAGUUGAUAUUCCAUGUUUGAUUUUAAGAUUUUUUUUUUUCCUCUAUGUUAUACAAGAAACACACUUUUUAACACAUGACAUUUAUAUGUUAAAAAGUGUGUAUAUAUAUAUAUAUGUAUAUGUGUGUGUAUAUACACAUAUAUAUAUACACACAUAUAUGUAUAUAUGUAACUAUAUAUAUAUAGUUAUAUAUAACUAUAUAUAAUUAUAAAGUGAUUCCCUCUGAUCUGGUUUGUACUGAACGACGGUGUACACACUUGAAAGCAGCACAAUGAACUGGCAUUGUUUUUUUUUGAGAAAUGAGCUGUGAACAUCUAUGGCUGUCUGACAGUCUGAGGGUGUGUUCGAAACCGCGUACUUGCUUACUACUCGUACUAACUAUGACGUCAAAUUGAGUAAGCGAGAACUUAGUAAGCGAGUUUAGGUAAGCGAGUAGUAUCCGAAUGUCUUCUACUUCCGGAAAGAUUUUGAGUAAGCAUCGCUAGCUUACUAGACGUACUCAACUGCCCCAGAAUGCACUGCGUCUAUUCAAAAGAACAGUGGAAGCAAUGGCGCUAAACGGGGAGCCGCAGCAGCAGUGCUUUUAAUAAUUGUUUAAUAAUUGUUUUAACAUAUCACCGCAAAUCCUUAGGUUGAAGGUGUACUGUGACGUUAAACGUGACGUUUAUAUAUUUAUUUAUAACAUUUAUUAACGGCGCCCGGCCGGUAGGUUAUUGACACGUCAUUUGAUUCACGUCAUCUGAGGUGGUUAAGUAAGGACGGUCUUCUGAACGUCGAUUACUCAAAUGGAGUACUCAAUUAUUAUUUAAGGAUUCGAGAAGUAAGCCAAAUAUUUAGUAGGUAGUAAGCAGUAAGCAAGUAGGCGGUUUCGAACACACCCUGAGAAUACCUACUCAAGACCCACACAAGAUGGCGGCUCCGUGUGCCGCGGCUGAGAGGGGCGUGGCGUAUCUAGUGUUCUAUAUAUAUCUAUGGGGAUGAUAUUGAAAUAUUUGAACUUCACCGCGACAUUCGUGUGAUGACAGCCAAUCAGCAUUCAACGGCUACUGAGUGACAUAACGUAACAGCCAAUCAGCUUUCAACAGCGUGGCCACUGAGGGACGUAACGUAACAGCCAAUCAGCGUUCAACAGCGUGGCCACUGAGUGACGUAACGUAACAGCCAAUCAGCUUUCAACCGGCCAACCGUUCCCUGCAGUGCCGACCGGGUGAACCGCAGCAUGGAGGAGAAGGGAUUGUUGCCGUUUGCACUCCCGGAGCUCUAUCUAUAAUAGUAUAUAAUAUGAUAUAAAUGUAAUGUAUAAUAUUACGGCCAGAAGCUGUGUGAGCCUCCGGACGGCCGUAGCGCGUCGGGAUUGGGCUUCGAGGGGUUUGUUUACCGGCGUUGCUAGGGUUACCGGUCCUGUGUGUUCCAACGGUUUAUUAGCGGUGGUAUCUAAUAAAUCGCUGUCUAAUCAAUACUUCAUUCACUGCCUCUUCCAUGGUCAUUACGAUAUUAUGGACCGACUGCGUCUGGUUCUCCGCCGUCCCUCCCUCUUCCACAACAGACUCACCGUCACCCUGGAUAGAGGGGAGAGAGCACUUACUGGAUGAACUCGAUGAAUUGACACUUCAGGGCUGGAUGCUUCACGACAAGAGUCUCUACCGUGUUUCUACUACUAAGAAGGGCUGGAGGGCCAGUAGAGAAGACUGUCAGAAGAGAAAGGCAGACCUGGUGGUCAUCAACAGCAGAGAAGAACUGAACCAGGUUUCCAGGUUGGUCAGCAGAUUGGUGGGUU